RNAcentral lists this ribosomal RNA (253 nucleotides) under uncultured bacterium. RNAcentral describes it as "partial 16S ribosomal RNA". It matches the Rfam family "Bacterial small subunit ribosomal RNA", at positions 524 to 776 of the family's 1533-position model. The record is from RNAcentral.
UACGUAGGAGACGAGCGUUGUCCGGGGUUACUGGGCGUAAAGGGCGCGCAGGCGGCCGCCCGCGUGUGUGGUGAAAGCUCCUGGCUUAACUAGGAGAGGUCCAUGCAGACGGGGUGGCUUGAGCGUCGGAGAGGGGCAUGGAAUUCCGGGUGGAGCGGUGAAAUGCGUAGAGAUCCGGAGGAACACCAAUGGCGAAGGCAGUGCCCUGGCCGACGGCUGACGCUCAGGCGCGAAAGCGUGGGGAGCAAACAGG